GAUGAACGCUGGCGGCGUGCCUAAUACAUGCAAGUCGAGCGAACAGAUGAGGAGCUUGCUCCUAUGACGUUAGCGGCGGACGGGUGAGUAACACGUGGAUAACCUACCUUUAAGACUGGGAUAACUUCGGGAAACCAGAGCUAAUACCGGAUAAAAUAUUUAACCACAUGGUUCAAUAGUGAAAGACGGAUUUGCUUUCACUUAUAGUGAGACCCGCUCCGAUUUGGCUAUUGGUUAGGGAAACGUCUACCAAGGGAAACGAUCCGUACCGGACGUGAGGGGGGAUUGGCCAAAUUGGAACGGGAACACGGCCCAAACCCCUAAGGGAGGCAGCAGGAGGGAAUUUUCGGCAAUGGGGGAAAGCCUGACGGAGAAAACCCGGGGGGGGGAAGAAGGUUUUCGGAUGGUAAAACCGUUUUGUUAGGGAAAAAAAAAGUGGGAAGGGAAAGAUCAACGAGUGACGGUAACUAAUCAGAAAGGCACGGCUAACUACGUG
Molecule: ribosomal RNA, 496 nt
Filed under: uncultured bacterium
Lineage: Bacteria
Description: partial 16S ribosomal RNA
Rfam family: Bacterial small subunit ribosomal RNA
Source: RNAcentral